GUUUGAUUAUACUGGAUCGCCGAUCAGCUAACUGUGUGCUCAAAGGGCCGACAAGUUGCUUUAGAAGUCCACGAAAACAAGGAUAAUCAGCAGCACCUCCAAUAACAAGUGCUUCAACUCUCUGCAUAGCAGCUAUACGGACAGACCAAUCUUUUUCUGGUACAAGGGUAGAGCCAAUAUUCUCGAAUUCCCUUAUAAGUUCCUUUUCUGAAUACACUUUAAUUGGGUCGACAGGCUUUUCUGUAAUAUCACCAUCCGCUCCAAAGAGAGACACCUCUCUUGUUGAACGUUUUGCCUUAGGACUGCUUUUCUUAGAACUAAGGCUAGCAGAUCUCACCUCACCAGUUGAAUAAUUAUUUGAGUUUCCAUCUAUAGAGCAACUUUUGGGCUCAAUCUUCUCAAGUCUCACAUUAAUAUCUUUUAGCAACAUGGAAGGAAGAUGAUGGCGCUGAAGCUCAUCGCGGAACUGGGGUCCAACCUCUGAAUACAUCACCUCGAUACAUGAUAAGGCUGCUUCCCUAACUCCAUGAUUAGGAUCAUUCAACAUUUGCAAAAUUGAAGGAAGGAUAGCCCGUUGAAGGGGCAGCUCUGUCGAUGCAAAAAGACCAAUUGCUGAUGUAACAGUACGAGCAAAUUCUUCUCGAACUCUAAAGCUUUUGUGCAUCCAAGCAUAACACCCCGCCCUCUCAACUAUGAUUGUCGGUGAAGAAACCUCCAUUAAUGUAAGCAACAACCUCCUAGCUGCAUCUCUAACCGGCUGCUUCGCAUCUCCUAAUCGUUCAACAACAGCUGGCAAAAGCGCAUUGAAGUGUAACUUCAAAUGCUCACCGGAUAAAACAGCAGCUGAAGCAAGUGACUGUAGAGCACCUUGAGUAACCCUAAAAUUGUUAUCUUUCAGAAGAUCCAAGCAUACAUCAACAAGUGAAGUCACUUCGGAAGGCGAUAAGGUUUUUCUCGAAGCUUCUAGAACUUGAUGAAGAUGCUCUACACCCGCCAUUCUCUCCUUCGUAUCCUUUGCACGCGCCAGCUCAAGCGCCGCCUCCAUUGGAGAUGGACGGUCGGGUUAUCGGAGCUCCGAUCUAGUAAAACGGGUCAGAUCUGUGAGAAGAAGAAAAAAGUGCUUUGAUGAAAAUGGUGGAUAGAGAGAAAGUGAAGUUUG
This 1159-nucleotide unclassified non-coding RNA is filed under the name Hevea brasiliensis (rubber tree). Lineage: Eukaryota; Viridiplantae; Streptophyta; Magnoliopsida; Malpighiales; Euphorbiaceae. The record is from RNAcentral.